UGUGGGAGCGAGCCUGCUCGCGAAAGCGUCGGGUCAGUGACAUUAAAGUUGGCUGAUACGCCGCUAUCGCGAGCAGGCUCGCUCCCACC
RNAcentral lists this unclassified non-coding RNA (89 nucleotides) under Pseudomonas corrugata. Lineage: Bacteria; Pseudomonadati; Pseudomonadota; Gammaproteobacteria; Pseudomonadales; Pseudomonadaceae. The record is from RNAcentral.